This 460-nucleotide ribosomal RNA is filed under the name uncultured bacterium. RNAcentral's name for it is "partial 16S ribosomal RNA". It matches the Rfam family "Bacterial small subunit ribosomal RNA", at positions 338 to 795 of the family's 1533-position model. The record is from RNAcentral.
CCUACGGGUGGCAGCAGUGAGGAAUAUUGGUCAAUGGGCGCGAGCCUGAACUAGCCAAGUAGCGUGAAGGCUGACUGCCCUACGGGUUGUAAUCUUCUUUUAUAAAGGAAUAAAGUGAGGCACGUGUGACUUUUUGUAUGUACUUUAUGAAUAAGGAUCGGCUAACUCCGUGCCCGCAGCCGCGGAAAUACGGAGGAUCCGAGCGUUAUCCGGUUUUAUUGGGUUUAAAGGGAGCGUAGAUGGGUUGUUAAGUCAGUUGUGAAAGUUUGCGGCUCAACCGUAAAAUUGCAAUUGAUACUGGCAGUCUUGAGUACAGUUGAGGUAGGCGGAAUUCGUGGUGUAGCGGUGAAAUGCUUAGAUAUCACGAAGAACGCCGAUUGCGAAGGCAGCUUACUAAACUGCCACUGACAUUGAUGCUCGAAAGUGUGGAUAUCAAACAGGAUUAGAUACCCUUGUAGUC